UACUAUGGAAUGAGACCACCACUUCUCC
This 28-nucleotide non-coding RNA is filed under the name Homo sapiens (human). Lineage: Eukaryota; Metazoa; Chordata; Mammalia; Primates; Hominidae. The record is from RNAcentral.